This 1290-nucleotide long non-coding RNA is filed under the name Pelusios castaneus (West African mud turtle). RNAcentral describes it as "lncRNA (ENSPCEG00000004238.1)". The record is from RNAcentral. Lineage: Eukaryota; Metazoa; Chordata; Testudines; Pelomedusidae.
CCCCGGCCCGCCAGGCAGCCCUGGACGGCGAUCACUCGCCCUAGCCCCACAGCGGCCAGGUGGGGCUCCCGUUAGGGAUGCUCGGACCAAGGGAGCCUCUUUGCGCAGCCUCCUCCCGCUGCGCGGCGCGGGUUGCUAUUUUGGCGAGGACUGGGAGCGGGGCGCCCCCGAUUUGCGCUCGCUCCUCGCCGCUGCAGUCAGGCGAGUCCCCGCCUCCACCUCCGCCAGGCUCCGGGGACUGGAGCGGCGGGGCCGCAGCGCUGAGCGGAGCCCGGCCGGAGCGCAAAGAAGGCUACAUCCCCCAUUCAUCCUCUGGUGGCGAACAGGUGAUUUCUUCCCUUGCUUGAGGCCCAGUGAGGUGCUGCGGAGCCAUCGGUGACACAUUGAGCAGCAGGAAGCAAGGAGGAUCGGGUCCCCUUGUGCAGCAAGAUCUCUUUUUGAGAGCUGUCAAAGCAGUCCCCCCCACACACACCCCGUCCUUCCCUGGACCCAGAGCCACCUGCAGCUGGCGAGUAAUGUGCGAUUCUGGCUGGGAGCAAGGCUGGGAUGGAUUUCAGAGGCAGUGAGCUCCAGCUGUGCCCCAUAGUGCUGGAGUUGUGAUCCUGUCCAACCAGCGAGGAGGAGGGGAAGGGGUCUGGCAGGGCAGGGUGCCUGAGUCCCUGUGAGGCUGAGUGAGGUGGUCUGGUACAGGUGUAUGGUGUGAGGCUGGACGUUGAUCGCCCCCGGCAUGCCUCUGCACAGCCUUCCCGAGGGACCGGAGAUGGGAGGCUCCUGAGAUGCCAGCUCUGCAGAGCCCCUCAUUACUCAUGCUGAGGCGGAGAGCCUGCAGAGGGGUGACUGGGCGUGAGCGUGAGAGCACCCAGGGCCAGGCAUAACAAGUCAGGUAGGGAAGAGGGGAGCGGAGGAGACAAUCACAGGCGAGGGACCCUGCAUUUUCCUAGGGGCCUCAUAUGAGUGUGAACUGAGGGGCAGUGGGGACGGAAUUGUUUUCCUUUUGCUCCUGGCACCCAUGAAAGGUUUUUGGAGCUCCAGGGAUUGGAGUCUGGCAAAGAUACUUGCUCCAGCCUGGCUCCUUGCAUAGUUAAGAGAACAUACUGGCUCUGUGCAUCACUCCUCCUGGCUCCUUCCUCUGGGGCCAGCACUCUGCGGGGUUCUGCUCCUGCCUCCUCUACGCUGCUUUCUGUGAACUGUGAAGCCAGAGAUCAAAGGUCAAGCCAAUCAGGUGCAGAGAUCCACUUCCAAAGGGGUCUGGGGCCUGGGAAGAUGCCUUCCUGCUGAGAGCUCCCCCAU